RNAcentral lists this unclassified non-coding RNA (242 nucleotides) under Hevea brasiliensis (rubber tree). Lineage: Eukaryota; Viridiplantae; Streptophyta; Magnoliopsida; Malpighiales; Euphorbiaceae. The record is from RNAcentral.
GUUAGACAGUAUAUGAGAACUGCAGCUUAUGAGAAAUGAAAAUGAAGAAUAUAAUAUUUGUUUCCAGAAAAUGAAAUGAAAUAUCAAUUUGUAGUUAAUGCUUGAGACUGUUUAGCUUUCUUAAUUUUAUGUAUGUGUCCCAUACAAAAAUUGGCAUGAAGCAAAAUGAGAGGCUCUGCCUUGGCAAUGAUGCCGUGAACAGAAGCAACAAUGACUAAUAGACAAACAAUAAUGAUUUUGGC